GAUAAACGCUGGCGGCGUGCCUAAUGCAUGCAAGUCGAACGGAGUGGCAAACGGGUGAGUAACACGUGGGAAUCUACCCUGGUGUGGGGAACAACUCUCUGAAAGGAGAGCUAAUACCGCAUACACAAGGAUGAGCCUGCGGCUGAUUAGCUAGUUGGUGGGGUAAAGGCUUACCAAGGCGAUGAUCAGUAGCUGGUCUGAGAGGACGGCCAGCCACACUGGGACUGCGAUACGGCCCAGACUCCUACGGGAGGCAGCAGCAAGGAAUUUUCGGCAAUGGGGGGAACCCUGACCGAGCAACGCCGCGUGGAGGACGAAGUAUUUCGGUAUGUAAACUCCUUUUUGAUGGGAAGCGGUACCAUCAGAAUAAGCUCCGGCUAACUACGUGCCAGCAGCCGCGGUAAUACGUAGGGAGCGAGCGUUGUCCGGAAUUACUGGGCGUAAAGGGCGAGUAGGCGGUAUAGCAAGUUCGAUGUGAAAGCCUUCGGCUUAACCGGAGAGGGUCAUCGGAGACUGCUAAACUGAGUGCAAAAGAGGCUAACAGAAUUCCCGGUGUAGUGGUGAAAUGCGUAGAUAUCGGGAGGAAUACCAGUGGCGAAGGCGGUUAGCUGGGUUGUAACUGACGCUGAGGCGCGAAGGCUAGGGUAGCAAACAGGAUUAGAUACCUGGUAGUCCUAGCAGUAAACGAUGGAUACUCGGUGAGGGAGUGUGCCAAAGCAAACGCAAUAAGUAUCCCGCCUGGGGAGUACGGUCGCAAGAUUAAAACUCAAAGGAAUUGACGGGGACCCGCACAAGCAGCGGAGCGUGUGGUUUAAUUCGACGCAACGCGCAGAACCUUACCAAGGCUUGACAUCAGGUGCUGCAUGGCUGUCGUCAGCUCGUGUCGUGAGAUGUUGGGUUAAGUCCCGCAACGAGCGCAACCCCUAGUGUUAGUUGUCUAGCGCGACUGCCGGUAGGAAACCGGAGGAAGGUGGGGAUGACGUCAAGUCAGCAUGGCCCUUACGUCUUGGGCUACACACGCGCUACAAUGGCUGGUACAGAGCGAAGCGAGACCGCGAGGAGGAGCAAAACGCCAAAGCCAGCCCAAGUUCGGAUUGUAGGCUGCAACUCGCCUGCAUGAAGUCGGAGUUGCUAGUAACCGCAGGUCAGACACUGCGGUGAAUACGUACCCGGGUCUUGUACACACCGCCC
Molecule: ribosomal RNA, 1191 nt
Filed under: uncultured Chloroflexota bacterium
Lineage: Bacteria; Bacillati; Chloroflexota
Description: bacterial SSU rRNA
Rfam family: Bacterial small subunit ribosomal RNA
Source: RNAcentral